AUUGAACGCUGGCGGCAGGCCUAACACGUGCAAGUCGAACGGUAGCAGGAAGAAGCUUGCUUCUUUGCUGACGAGUGGCGGACGGGUGAGUAAUGUCUGGGAAACUGCCUGAUGGAGGGGGAUAACUACUGGAAACGGUAGCUAAUACCGCAUAACGUCGCAAGACCAAAGAGGGGGACCUUCGGGCCUCUUGCCAUCGGAUGUGCCCAGAUGGGAUUAGCUAGUUGGUGGGGUAACGGCUCACCAAGGCGACGAUCCCUAGCUGGUCUGACAGGAUGACCAGCCACACUGGAACUGAGACACGGUCCAGACUCCUACGGGAGGCAGCAGUGGGGAAUAUUGCACAAUGGGCGCAAGCCUGAUGCAGCCAUGCCGCGUGUAUGAAGAAGGCCUUCGGGUUGUAAAGUACUUUCAGCGGGGAGGAAGGGAGUAAAGUUAAUACCUUUGCUCAUUGACGUUACCCGCAGAAGAAGCACCGGCUAACUCCGUGCCAGCCGCCGCAGUAA
Molecule: ribosomal RNA, 506 nt
Filed under: uncultured bacterium
Lineage: Bacteria
Description: partial 16S ribosomal RNA
Rfam family: Bacterial small subunit ribosomal RNA
Source: RNAcentral